Molecule: ribosomal RNA, 305 nt
Filed under: uncultured bacterium
Lineage: Bacteria
Description: bacterial SSU rRNA
Rfam family: Bacterial small subunit ribosomal RNA
Source: RNAcentral
GCCUACGGGGGGCAGCAGUGGGGAAUAUUGCACAAUGGGGGAAACCCUGAUGCAGCGACGCCGCGUGAGUGAUGAAGUAUUUCGGUAUGUAAAGCUCUAUCAGCAGGGAAGAUAAUGACGGUACCUGACUAAGAAGCUCCGGCUAAAUACGUGCCAGCAGCCGCGGUAAUACAUAGGGGGCAAGCGUUAUCCGGAAUUAUUGGGUGUAAAGGGUGCGUAGACGGAAGAACAAGUUGGUUGUGAAAUCCCUCGGCUCAACUGAGGAACUGCAACCAAAACUAUUCUCCUUGAGUGUCGGAGAGGAA